Nerophis lumbriciformis (worm pipefish) is the source of this 653-nucleotide long non-coding RNA. RefSeq lists it as uncharacterized. The record is from RefSeq and is a predicted model, not a curated record. NCBI's taxonomy places the organism in Eukaryota, Metazoa, Chordata, Actinopteri, Syngnathiformes, Syngnathidae.
UCUAAAUCUGUGUUAGUAAGCAUUUUUUCUUUGUCAAGAAAAUCCCUCCCACCUUACAGGUGUGGCAUAUCAAGAUGCUGAUAAAACAGCGUGAUUAUUGCACAGGUGUGCCUUAGGCUGCCCACAGUAAAAGGCAAAUGUGCAGUUUUAUCACACGUGGCAUGCUGACUGCAGAAAAGUCCAUCAGAGUUUUUGCCCGUGAAUUGAAUGUUCUUUUCUCUACCAUAAGACGCCUCCAAAGCCGUAUCAGAGAAUUUGGCAGUACAUCCAACCGGCCUCCCAACCGCAGACCAUGUGUAACCACACCAGCCCAGGACCUCCACAUCCAGCAGCUGUAACUCAAAGGCAAACCAAGGCCGACAUAGAAGGGAUUGUCGCGCAUCAUUUGAACUUUGACCCUCACACAUCUGCUCACGGUUGACUGCUGACCAGAUGUCCGCUGGGCUCAAACGCUGCAGGACAUUCAGGAUAGAGACUGAGAAAGCUCCAUCCAUCCAUCCUGUGGAUUGAUUCAGUUGGGAUAAAAGAGGAGGACUAAGAAGAAGAAAAAGAAGAAGAGGAGGAGGACCAACCGGGUGGCUGUCAGAUGGAGCACCGAGGCUCCUGGAGGAGCUCAGGGCGCACGGCGGACCCGCAGUGACCGCUUGUGGAUG